This 164-nucleotide ribosomal RNA is filed under the name Piriqueta cistoides subsp. caroliniana. RNAcentral's name for it is "5.8S ribosomal RNA". It matches the Rfam family "5.8S ribosomal RNA". Rfam says of the family: 5.8S ribosomal RNA (5.8S rRNA) is a component of the large subunit of the eukaryotic ribosome. Lineage: Eukaryota; Viridiplantae; Streptophyta; Magnoliopsida; Malpighiales; Passifloraceae. The record is from RNAcentral.
AAAACGACUCUCGGCAACGGAUAUCUCGGCUCUCGCAUCGAUGAAGAACGUAGCGAAAUGCGAUACUUGGUGUGAAUUGCAGAAUCCCGUGAACCAUCGAGUCUUUGAACGCAAGUUGCGCCCGAAGCCUUUCGGUUGAGGGCACGUCUGCCUGGGUGUCAUAA